CGUGCAGAUACGUGUAAACUUGUGGCCGCACUCGGCAACAAUGUAUAUCAAUAUGCCGAAGCAAAGUGCCCAAUGAGCCAUCAAUAUCCCAACGGUCCUUCCGCCGAAUGUCCGAGAAGAAGACGUGCGUGGCAACAGUGCGGACGCCUAACAAACGUGUGGAUAGUGGGGAUUUGAGGGGCGACAAACAGAAAAGAAUCGAAUCCGAUCGACAGUUAGGUUUGAAAUAGGAAGCGAUAAAGUCGAGUUGUAACCGGGCAGUGAAAUUGACUAGCGAAACCGAGAGCGAUACGUGACGCGAUCGAAAAAAGAUUCUUGUUAAUAAAUAUGUUGUUGACCUAAAUACCGAAUGAUUAUUUAACGCACUACACCCAAUAACACCUCAAACUUUUUCGUCGUUAAAUUAAACCGUCAAACAUGAGCAAGUGUUACAGUACUUUCGAACUAUAUAGAUUAGGACGUGAAAGAACAACGGAGGGCCAGCCAAAGUUUCGGCUGGACGUGACCCGAAGUGUCCUGGGAAUUGCCGUGUAAUUUGUCUAUAUCGUGCAAGGGAGGAAAUAAAAUAGAAAAAUAGAAAAGGAGAAUAAUAGAAGGAGAAAAAUAGAAAAGAAAUGCGAGCAAAUGAAGAUAUAAGAUGGAUCCAGAAAUGAAUGAUACUAUUUUAUUCUGUGCCAAUUAUAUUUUGAACUAUUCAAAAAAAAAAAAAAAAGGAAGUAAAAUAAAAAAACAACAGGCAAGAGCUUGUAAUUAAAUUCCAGGAAAAAUGUGAAACAAAAUCAAAGUGCAGAUCCAAGAGAAAAAAUCAGAAAAGAAAAAAAAAUCUCUUCGUACAAAAUGUUACAUUGAAAUGGAUAUUUUUCAACAUCAAAAGCGUGAAACUCGAGACGCCGUUUUCAACCAUGUUAAGACAAAUUAAAUCCAAAAAAAAAAGCGAAGAAAAGGGAGAAGCAGAAAGAGAAUUGGUUUCUCUUGCUAAAGAGUUUAAGAAGACGGUAAUUAUACAGAAAAAAGGAACAUCUUCCCGAUUUCAAUGGGCCUGAGAUACGCUGUCAAGGACGACACUGUGAACUACUUUUCCCUACACACGCAGCCACAGCUCGGCCCUCGUUUCACCGAGACGUUUUCAAAAAACUUCAACGAAAUUUGAGUUCCAUUACGCUUCAUUCUGGCGUAUAGAUAGUCGUUCAAUUUUUGUAUAGUUCAACCUAAGCUUAACUUAUCGAUGCUAAUCAUCUUCAAUAUAAAUAAAAAAAAAGAUAAAUCAAUGGGUUGUAGAUUAUUAAAUUUUAAUUUAGUUAAAUGUUAGUUAAAUGCUAGAUUAAUAUAUUGCACAACGUUGGCACGA
Long non-coding RNA from Bombus huntii, 1348 nucleotides. RefSeq lists it as uncharacterized. NCBI's taxonomy places the organism in Eukaryota, Metazoa, Arthropoda, Insecta, Hymenoptera, Apidae. The transcript has 2 exons. The record is from RefSeq and is a predicted model, not a curated record.